CAGGCCUCCGGGCCGCGAAGUCGCAGCGCCAGACCCAAGGCCCCCGAGUGAGCGCGGGCGCCGAGGCAAGCCGGUAUAUUCGGGGCCCAGGAGCAAGGAAAAGUGGCCUUUUGCGUGACACAGAAGUGGACACAUCAUUCUGAUCUCAGGGCAGGCUCAGCCCCAUAACUCUGGCAAAAGCUCUCACAAGCAAAAGCCUUGGAGAGGAGGAGAAUGUAUCAAGAGACAGGGGUCUUGCCAUGGCUGGUCUUGAAGUCCUGGGCUCAAGCGAUCCUCCCUCUUUGGCCUCCCAAAGUGCUGGGAUUACAGGAGUGAGUCACUGCACCCAGCCUUACUCCUCUUUAGACUCCCAAGCCUAGACCAAUUGCUUUCAAAUUCUUGCCCGUGACCUAUAGUAAGAAAUACAUCGUAGGUAACUACACAGGUCACACUGUAUAUAGCUGAAACAAAAGUUUACUGAAAUAACUCCCUUACUGUGUCUGCUGGUCUGUAAUCCUUUUUGUUCUUGUGUAUUUGUUUUUUUUUUAAUUACUGAUUGCUACCCACGAAAUUAAUUUUGCAAUCCACUGAUGGGUCAUACCCAGAAUUUGAAAAAAACAAGCCUAGGAAAUGAAUUUGCCAUCUAUUCAUGCAACAAAUGUUAAUUGCAACCCUAAUAAUUCCUCUCAUGUUAAACUACUCAAGUAACACUUGGAUACUUGGGUGAAAAAUGCAAAUAAGCCAGAAAUAUAUGUAGUAAAAGUAAAAGUUCCCUUGGCACCCUCCCUGCAGGUAACCCCAGUUAAUAGUUUGAACGUAUCCUUCCAGACUUUUUGUUACUCACUUAAUGCAUAUAUAUAUAUAUAUAUAUAUAUAUAUAUAUAUAUGUAUGUAUGUAUGUAUAUUACAUAUACCAAUCCAUGCAUAGUUUUCUUUUUCCCCAAGUGAGGACAUACUGUGGGCUCUUCCUCGGCAGCUUCCUUUUUCCUCUCCGUUUGUCUUGGAGAGGUUGGUUGUGUGGCGAAGUCCUUCAGGGCAAGUUCUGGGUUGACUCCUGGCUCCACCACAUACUGAACAGGCCAUUUACCUCUCUGUGCCUCAGUGUCCCCAUCUUUACAAUCAGGAGAAUAACAGUACAGACCUCACGGUACUGAAGUAAAGAUGCAGUGAGUUAAUCCAUAUGAAGUUUAGAGCAGUGCUUUUGCCAAUAAAUGCUGAUUGCUGCCGUCAUUGUUGUAUUGUUAUUGCUGUUCUAUCUCCAUGGCAGCCCAUGUUUGAAAUGCAUUGCUUUCCACAGCUGCCUGUGGCCAUGGCAUG
RNAcentral lists this long non-coding RNA (1296 nucleotides) under Homo sapiens (human). RNAcentral describes it as "HSALNT0238055". The record is from RNAcentral. Lineage: Eukaryota; Metazoa; Chordata; Mammalia; Primates; Hominidae.